Molecule: ribosomal RNA, 411 nt
Filed under: Naja atra (Chinese cobra)
Lineage: Eukaryota; Metazoa; Chordata; Lepidosauria; Squamata; Elapidae
Description: partial 16S ribosomal RNA
Rfam family: Bacterial large subunit ribosomal RNA
Source: RNAcentral
AAGGGAGGGUAAUCAAUUGUUUUUUAAUUGUAGACCCGUUUGAAAGGCAAAAAGAGGGCCCAUUUGUUUUUUGUUGUAAAUCAAUUAAAAUGAUUUUCCCGUUCCAAAGGUGGGAUGCCAACAUAAGACCCGAAGACCCCGUGAAGGUUAAAAUAAAAUAUUAAAUCCUAUUAUAGGUCCCUUUGGGUGGGGGGGCCCUGGAAAAAAAAAGAAAUUUCAAACAUACUGACCUUACAGUCACCUACCCUAGGCCAACAAGCCUAACAACGACCCAGCACAGCUGAUAAUUGAACCAAGUUACUCCAGGGAUAACAGCGCUAUUUUUUUCAAGAGCCCAUAUCAAAAAGAAGGUUUACGACCUCGAUGUUGGAUCAGGACAUCCUAAUGGUGCAGCCGCUAUAAGGGUUCGUU